UACGGAAGGCAGCAGUGGGGAAUAUUGCACAAUGGGCGAAAGCCUGAUGCAGCUAUGCCGCGUGUAUGAAGAAGGCCUUAGGGUUGUAAAGUACUUUCAUCGGGGAGGAAAAAACAAAACUAAUAAUUUUAUUUCUUGACGUUACCCGAAAAAGAAGCACCGGCUAACUCCGUGCCAGCAGCCGCGGUAAUACGGAGGGUGCUAGCGUUAAUCAGAAUUACUGGGCGUAAAGAACACGUAGGUGGUUUUUUUAAAGUCAGAUGUGAAAUCCCUGGGCUUAACCUAGGAACUGCAUUUUGAAACUGAAAUACUAGAGUAUCGUAGAGGGAGGUAGAAUUCUAGGUGUAGCGGUGAAAUGCGUAGAUAUCUGGAGGAAUACCUGUGGCGAAAGCGGCCUCCUAAACGAAUACUGACACUGAGGGUGCGAAAGCGUGGGGAGCAAACAGGGAUUAGAUACCCGU
RNAcentral lists this ribosomal RNA (461 nucleotides) under uncultured bacterium. RNAcentral describes it as "bacterial SSU rRNA". It matches the Rfam family "Bacterial small subunit ribosomal RNA", at positions 340 to 789 of the family's 1533-position model. The record is from RNAcentral.